GAUGAACGCUGGCGGCGUGCCUAAUACAUGCAAGUCGAGCGAACAGAUAAGGAGCUUGCUCCUUUGACGUUAGCGGCGGACGGGUGAGUAACACGUGGGUAACCUACCUAUAAGACUGGGAUAACUUCGGGAAACCGGAGCUAAUACCGGAUAACAUUUGGAACCGCAUGGUUCUAAAGUGAAAGAUGGUUUUGCUAUCACUUAUAGAUGGACCCGCGCCGUAUUAGCUAGUUGGUAAGGUAACGGCUUACCAAGGCGACGAUACGUAGCCGACCUGAGAGGGUGAUCGGCCACACUGGAACUGAGACACGGUCCAGACUCCUACGGGAGGCAGCAGUAGGGAAUCUUCCGCAAUGGGCGAAAGCCUGACGGAGCAACGCCGCGUGAGUGAUGAAGGGUUUCGGCUCGUAAAACUCUGUUAUUAGGGUAGAACAAAUGUGUAAGUAACUGUGCACGUCUUGACGGUACCUAAUCAGAAAGCCACGGCUAACUACGUG
RNAcentral lists this ribosomal RNA (497 nucleotides) under uncultured bacterium. RNAcentral describes it as "partial 16S ribosomal RNA". It matches the Rfam family "Bacterial small subunit ribosomal RNA", at positions 28 to 507 of the family's 1533-position model. The record is from RNAcentral.